UGGCAAACUCACUCUAGCGUCACUUUCAUCAUCUUCUCUCCCCCUCCCCCCCAAGAACCCUUUCAUUUGCAGGAAAAACUUUAAACCCUUUUCUUCUUUUCGGACCCCUACUCUCACCCGCAGUCUCAUUAGUUUCUUCUAUAUCCAUCAAUAGUUUUGUUUGUUUGUUUGUGAUUCUCUGCAGCAGCAGUAGUGUUGAUCAAAGAUGCAUAAUACACGACAAAAACCACAAGAAAUAGUCUACACGAAGCAGCCUUACAUCGAGAAUGUAGGCCCACGCAGAAUCAAAAGUAUGCAAUUCUGCAUGAUGUCUGGAGCGGAGAUUGUAAAAGCUGCAGAGUGUCAAGUUCAUUUGGGUGUAUACUAUGACUCGAGUAGAAAGCCUGUUCAAGGUGGUUUAUUGGAUACGCACAUGGGUCCUGCCAAUAAAAAUAGUACGUGCCAAACUUGUGGUGCUGGGUUUCAUGAGUGUCCUGGGCACUUUGGAUACUUGAAUCUUGUCUUGCCUGUUUUCAAUGUUGGAUAUAUGAGCAAUAUUUUGGACAUUUUGAAGUGCAUCUGUAAGGCUCAUAACGUUCCCAGUUUUUAAUACUGCAUUCCCAUGUGUAAGUAAAUCAGGUAAUACAGGCCUUUUUAUUCUGGAUUUCUCAUUUCUAUUCCUUUUCUUUUUUCUGGAUAACCAAAUAUCCAAGGAAUUGAAAUGGUACUCAACUGGAAUCUUAUUGGAUGCUUGCAUCCCCUUGAACCUGGACAAUUUGUCUCUUCAUCCAUAUUAUGCUUUGUCUUUUUCCCAUCCAUUGUUUCCUCGACAAAAUUUCCUGCAAAGUCUUCCAAUAAAAGCAAUUUAUAUUCAGUGACUCACCUUUGGGAUUUUUAAUAAUUAUGCUGUUCAAGUAACAGUGGUCAAUAAUCUGGCCAGUUAUGCACCUUUUGGGGUGCUAAUUUUGUUCCUAGAUUUUUGUCUGGAAUUUCUUUACAAUUUUUUAGAAAUCUUUCAAUGAGGGUAAUUGAUGCUAGAGAAAUUGCACCGUCAAACCAAUAGUUGUAGUUGUCAACUUGUCAUUGCUUAUCAUACUUGAUAUAUUGGUUCUGAGUGCUUUUAUUUUCUCUGCAGUCUUGCUCUCAUAUACUUAUGGGAGAUAAAUUAUAUAAAGAACAAUUGAGAAAGAUGAGAAAUCCCAAGAUAGAUCCUCUGAGAAAGAGUGAUCACGUGAAAAUGAUUGUAAAGAAGUGUAGUACCAUGGUGAGCAAUAAAGCUGUGAAGUGCAUGAGAUGUGGAGAUAUGAAUGGUAUGGUCAAGAAGGCUGGGUCUGCUCUAAGCAUUAUUCAUGAUCGUGGAAAAUUAGUUAAUGGCUAUUUGGAUGAAUGUAAAUCUGCAAUUUCACACACAAAAGAGUCUAGGGCACCAAUAAGUCCAGCUACAUAUAUUCUUAAUCCUGCCAGAGUUUUGUCUCUUUUUGAAAGAAUGUCGGAGGAGGAUUGUGAAGUGCUUGGUCUGUGUGACCGACCUGAGAAACUCAUUAUAACAAACAUUGCUGUGCCACCUAUACCAAUCCGCCCUUCUGUUAUCAUGGAUGGAUCUCAAAGUAAUGAAAAUGACAUCACAGAGAGGUUAAAACAAAUUAUUCAGGCAAAUGCUAGCCUUCGUAUGGAAUUACUAGAAGGAAGGAGGAGUAUGAACAAAUAUCUGGAUUCCUGGGAUGGUCUUCAAGCUGCAGUUGCACUCUAUGUAAAUAGUGAUGUUCGUGUUCCAAAUAAUGUGGAAGUUGGGAAGCCACUGAGUGGCUUUGUUCAGCGCCUUAAAGGAAAGCAGGGGCGAUUUCGUGGGAAUUUAUCUGGGAAGCGUGUUGAAUACACGGGCAGGACUGUUAUAUCACCAGACCCUAAUCUGAAAAUUACUGAGGUAGCAGUUCCCAUCCAUAUGGCUCGGAUUCUAUCUUAUCCUGAACGUGUUUCCCAACACAAUAUUGAGAAGUUGAGGCAGUGUGUCAGUAAUGGCCCUCAUAAAUACCCUGGUGCAAGGAUGGUCAGAUAUCUUGAUGGUUCUUCAAAUGUGUUGACAGGUAAUUACAGAAAACGCAUUGCGGAUGAACUGAAAGUUGGUUGUAUAGUCGAUCGCCAUUUAGAAGAUGGAGAUAUUGUUCUUUUUAACAGACAACCAAGCUUGCAUCGAAUGUCUAUCAUGUGCCAUAGGGCAAGAGUCAUGCCUUGGAGGACAUUGAGAUUUAAUGAAUCUGUUUGCAAUCCAUAUAAUGCUGAUUUUGAUGGUGAUGAGAUGAAUAUGCAUGUCCCACAAACAGAAGAGGCUCGAACAGAGGCUCUCAUGCUGAUGGGGGUGCAAAACAAUUUGUGCACACCAAAAAAUGGAGAGAUCUUGGUUGCUUCCACCCAAGAUUUUCUAACAUCAUCUUUUCUCAUUACAAGGAAGGACACAUUUUAUGACCGUGCGGCUUUCUCACUUAUGUGUUCUUAUAUGAAUGAUGGCAUGGAUGUUGUUGAUUUGCCAACACCUGCAAUACUGAAGCCAAUAGAGCUUUGGACUGGUAAACAAUUAUUCAGCGUCCUACUUCGUCCAAAUGCAAAUGUGAGAGUCUUCCUGAAUCUCAUUGUUAAGGAGAAAAUCUACUCCAAACCUAAAAAGGGGGAUAAAAGAGAAAAAGAAACAAUGUGCCCCAAUGAUGGUUUUGUUUAUAUCCGGAAUAGUGAGCUAAUAUCUGGACAACUAGGAAAGGCAACUCUAGGAAAUGGCAACAAGGAUGGACUUUACUCUGUUCUUCUUAGAGACUACAAUGCACAUGCUGCUGCUACUUGCAUGAAUCGGCUAGCUAAAUUGAGUGCUCGAUUUAUAGGAAAUCAUGGCUUCUCAAUAGGGAUUGAUGAUGUCCAACCAGGGAAAAAAUUGAUUGAUGAAAAAGGGAAAACGAUUUCAAAUGGUUAUCAACAGUGUGAUAAACUAAUAGAGGAAUACAAUGAAGGAAAGCUUUCACUUAAACCUGGUUGCGAUGCCAUUCAAACACUGGAAGCUGAAAUUACUGAGAAAUUAAAUAAGCUUCGAGAAGAAGCUGGUGAUGUAUGCAUGAAAGAAUUGCAUUGGAGAAACAGUCCAUUGAUCAUGUCACAGUGUGGAUCGAAAGGAUCCCCUAUCAAUAUCAGCCAGAUGAUUGCAUGUGUUGGUCAGCAAUCAGUUGGAGGUCGUCGUGCACCAGAUGGAUUCAUACACCGAAGCCUUCCUCAUUUCCCUAGAAAAUCCAAAACCCCUGCAGCUAAAGGCUUUGUUGCUAAUUCAUUCUAUAGUGGUUUGACAGCAACUGAGUUUUUCUUCCAUACCAUGGGUGGAAGGGAAGGUCUUGUGGACACUGCGGUCAAAACAGCCGAUACUGGGUACAUGUCUCGUAAACUAAUCAAAGGACUAGAGGACUUGUCUAUCCAAUAUGAUAAUACAGUACGAAAUGCAAGUGGAUGCAUAGUUCAAUUUCUUUAUGGAGAUGAUGGCUUGGAUCCUGCAAGAAUGGAAGGAAAAGGUGGAUUUCCAUUGAAUCUUGAUCGAUUGUUCAUAAAAGUAAAGGCCACCUGUCCUGCUGGAGAAGAGGACUACGUAUCUCCUUCAGAAAUCUCCAAUAUGGUGGAAGAUUUACUAGUAAAGUAUGAUAUGGCUCUUGGUGGCAUUUGUUCUGAAGCCUUCAAAAAAAGUCUGAGUUCCUUCCUUGGAGAUCAUGUGAAGAGAUUGGAAAGCAUGAUGAACCUGGUUGAUGGUGUUGAGGGGCAAAAUUCUGAGAAUAUAGAAGUUGGAGCUGUAAGAGGAAAUACAGAAAAUAUAGAAAAAAUGGCGCAUAAGAUAUUUGGUACUACUGAAAGACAGCUACAGGUUUUUUUGAGAACCUGCAUAGAUCGUUAUCUUUGGAAAAGAGUGGAACCUGGGACUGCAAUUGGUGCAAUUGGUGCUCAAAGUAUAGGAGAGCCUGGAACACAAAUGACAUUGAAGACAUUUCACUUUGCUGGAGUUGCAAGCAUGAAUAUAACACAAGGAGUUCCUCGCAUCAAAGAAAUAAUAAAUGGGGCCAAAAAGAUCAGUACACCAAUCAUUACUGCUGAACUUGAGCAUAAUACUAAUGUGAAUGCUGCUCGAAUUGUUAAAAGUCGCAUCCAAAAAACUACUUUAGGCCAGGUUGCUAAGAGUAUCAAAAUUGUGAUGACUUCAAGAUCAGCAUCUGUAGUGGUCUCACUGGACAUGAAGACAAUUCAAGAGGCACAAUUAUCUCUGGAUGCUAACAUUGUGAAGGAAUCAAUAUUACAAACUCCAAGAAUUAAACUAAAGCCACAGAAUGUCAAGGUUUUGGAUAUUAGAAAGUUGGAAGUUAUUCCUCUGGGUGACAGAGAGAAAGUUCAUUUUGAACUCCAUUCUCUUAAAAAUAUGCUUCCAAGAGUUGUAGUAAAGGGCAUAAGAACUGUUGACCGUGUUGUUAUUGCCCAAAAGAAAAAUGAGGGUAAAGGAAGUGAUCAAGAGCUCCCAACAUACAACAUGUUUGUAGAAGGCACUGGUCUUCAAGAUGUUAUGGGGACUGAAGGAGUGGAUGGACGCAAAACAACAUGUAAUCAUGUAAUGGAAGUUCAUAAAUACCUCGGAAUCGAGGCUUCAAGAAAAUGUAUUAUUGAUGAGAUAAAAAAUGUUAUGGAAGGUCAUGGAAUGAGCAUUGACAUACGCCAUAUGAUGCUUUUAGCAGAUCUAAUGACAUUUAAGGGCGAAGUUCUUGGAAUCAAUAGAUUUGGCAUUCAGAAGAUGGAAAAAAGUGUAUUGAUGUUGGCUUCAUUUGAAAAAACAGCAGAUCACCUUUUCCAUGCUGCUGUAAAUGGUAGGGAUGACGGGAUUGAGGGAGUUAGUGAAUGUAUCAUAAUGGGCAUCCCUAUGCAGCUAGGCACUGGAAUACUCAGAGUACAGCAAAGGGUUGAUCCGCUGCCAAUGCUGAGUUAUGGAGCCGAUCCAAUCAUCCCUUGAGAGUUGGUUUGUCCAAAGCUCAUCAACCGAUGCAUACAGAUGAUUGCAUUACACAUGGUGCAUGUGCAUUAGUUUGCUAUUUGUUAAAGGUUAGAAUAUGUACAUAGAAACCUAAAUUUUAUCGAAUGGUUUAAUAUAUAUAUAUAAUUAUAUAAUUUUGCUGCAGAAAGAAAGAAAAAUGAUCAACCCAACCCCCCAGGAAAAGCUCUAGUUUCUCUCCCAGAGUUAACCGUGUACCGAUGGUGAUAUUGGUUGCACAUGGUUGACUUCCAGUGAGCAAAUUAUGGACGUGUUAUGGCAGAGCCAUAACCUAGCAUAAAAACAGGGAAGAAGAAAAAGAAAGGGAGGAAGAGUUCUGUAUUAUAAUUUUGUAUUAUUUAAUUCAUCAAUAAUUGUUCCUUUACAUGUUUACAUUAUUUAUAACAUUUCUUAUUCAUUCAUCCAGUUGCAACUAAUCUCCUAACUGCCUAACAGCUUUUCUAACUUCCUUCAGCAGCUCACUAACUAUCUCAUAGCUGCAUAGCUGUCACUAGGGGUGGCCACGGUUCAGGAAC
RNAcentral lists this unclassified non-coding RNA (5547 nucleotides) under Hevea brasiliensis (rubber tree). Lineage: Eukaryota; Viridiplantae; Streptophyta; Magnoliopsida; Malpighiales; Euphorbiaceae. The record is from RNAcentral.